GGUAGCUUGCUACCUAACCUAGCGGCGGACGGGUGAGUAAUGCUUAGGAAUCUGCCUAUUAGUGGGGGACAACAUUUCGAAAGGGAUGCUAAUACCGCAUACGCCCUAAGGGGGAAAGCAGGGGAUCUUCGGACCUUGCGCUAAUAGAUGAGCCUAAGUCGGAUUAGCUAGUUGGUGGGGUAAAGGCCUACCAAGGCGACGAUCUGUAGCGGGUCUGAGAGGAUGAUCCGCCACACUGGGACUGAGACACGGCCCAGACUCCUACGGGAGGCAGCAGUGGGGAAUAUUGGACAAUGGGGGGAACCCUGAUCCAGCCAUGCCGCGUGUGUGAAGAAGGCCUUUUGGUUGUAAAGCACUUUAAGCGAGGAGGAGGCUACCGAGAUUAAUACUCUUGGAUAGUGGACGUUACUCGCAGAAUAAGCACCGGCUAACUCUGUGCCAGCAGCCGCGGUAAUACAGAGGGUGCGAGCGUUAAUCGGAUUUACUGGGCGUAAAGCGUGCGUAGGCGGCUUUUUAAGUCGGAUGUGAAAUCCCCGAGCUUAACUUGGGAAUUGCAUUCGAUACUGGGAAGCUAGAGUAUGGGAGAGGAUGGUAGAAUUCCAGGUGUAGCGGUGAAAUGCGUAGAGAUCUGGAGGAAUACCGAUGGCGAAGGCAGCCAUCUGGCCUAAUACUGACGCUGAGGUACGAAAGCAUGGGGAGCAAACAGGAUUAGAUACCCUGGUAGUCCAUGCCGUAAACGAUGUCUACUAGCCGUUGGGGCCUUUGAGGCUUUAGUGGCGCAGCUAACGCGAUAAGUAGA
This 799-nucleotide ribosomal RNA is filed under the name Acinetobacter johnsonii. Its description in RNAcentral is "bacterial SSU rRNA". It matches the Rfam family "Bacterial small subunit ribosomal RNA", at positions 74 to 868 of the family's 1533-position model. The record is from RNAcentral. Lineage: Bacteria; Pseudomonadati; Pseudomonadota; Gammaproteobacteria; Moraxellales; Moraxellaceae.